UUGUCUAAUGAAAUAAUAUAUGGUUACUUCAAAGGAGGUAUCAGGUUGAGUGCCAAGGCCAAAACAUUUUUAUUUCUGAGGAAGAGGCGAUUAACUCUAUGCCGGGCCGGGGCGGGCUUCCGGGGCCCGGCCCGAUGGCCACCUAUGCUGUUAGUAUUGUUCCUCCACCACGGGUGGACGAAACAACUGCCUGGUCUACUCCCUCCCCACUCGCUCCCUUCCCGAACCGGCGCCCCUCCUCUUCCUCCUCCGUCCCCAUCCGCCGCCGCCGCUUCCGGUUCCCACGCAGCUGCCUCCUCCCCUUCUUCCUUCGUCGAGCGCCGCGGAAUCCUCCUCCUCCUCCUCUCCCGUCGCCGCCGCCUCUCCUUCCUCCGUCACCGCCGCCAUCGACAUGAUCCGAGCGAGGGCGCCGGGAUCCGGCGGCGGCUCGACGAGAUCCGAUGCCGCUGGGGACCAUGCCGCCGUUGAUGGGCGGAUCCGGCGGCCCCGCCGCGGAUCGUGCCGGCGGCCUCCAUCCUCAUCGGCGUUGCAGCUGUCCCGGUGUCAACCUUGGCCUUGGGUAUGGAGAGGAAAUAAUUCUCAUAGUUGCCAUUGAUGGAAAGCUCGAUAAGAUUACCAUGGCGAGAAGCUUCUUCUCUGAUGACAGCAACUGUGUUAGCUACGCCCUCAGCGCUUGUGUAGCGUGACGAGUAGCAGAGGGUAAUCUUGUUGAGACCCUGAAGGUGCAUGAUGCCUGAGGGGCUUUUAUCUGCUGGGUAAACAUAGAGCGUUAGCUGGAGGUGCUUCAGACAUGGCAUAGCUCCCUCCUGAAAGGUUACCCACGGCGCCCUGCAGUCGAAAUUGAAUUUCUCAA
Molecule: long non-coding RNA, 853 nt
Organism: Brachypodium distachyon (stiff brome)
Lineage: Eukaryota; Viridiplantae; Streptophyta; Magnoliopsida; Poales; Poaceae
Exons: 2
Source: RefSeq, a predicted model, not a curated record